This 425-nucleotide ribosomal RNA is filed under the name uncultured bacterium. RNAcentral describes it as "bacterial SSU rRNA". It matches the Rfam family "Bacterial small subunit ribosomal RNA", at positions 354 to 796 of the family's 1533-position model. The record is from RNAcentral.
GUGGGGAAUAUUGCACAAUGGGCGAAAGCCUGAUGCAGCAACGCCGCGUGAGUGAUGAAGGCCUUCGGGUUGUAAAGCUCUGUCUUUUGGGACGAUAAUGACGGUACCAAAGGAGGAAGCCACGGCUAACUACGUGCCAGCAGCCGCGGUAAUACGUAGGUGGCAAGCGUUGUCCGGAUUUACUGGGCGUAAAGGAUGCGUAGGCGGAUUUUUAAGUGAGAUGUGAAAUACCCGGGCUUAACUUGGGUGCUGCAUUUCAAACUGGAAAUCUAGAGUGCGGGAGAGGAAAGUGGAAUUCCUAGUGUAGCGGUGAAAUGCGUAGAGAUUAGGAAGAACACCAGUGGCGAAGGCGACUUUCUGGACCGUAACUGACGCUGAGGCAUGAAAGCGUGGGUAGCAAACAGGAUUAGAAACCCUAGUAGUCC